RNAcentral lists this long non-coding RNA (1174 nucleotides) under Lathyrus oleraceus (garden pea). RNAcentral's name for it is "Pisum sativum (pea) long non-coding RNA (PSAT_LNC037095)". Lineage: Eukaryota; Viridiplantae; Streptophyta; Magnoliopsida; Fabales; Fabaceae. The record is from RNAcentral.
CAGAAUACCUCUCUUUCUUUGCACAUAACUCCUAAAUGGUUCAUCACCAAGAAACCACUCUUAAAUCACCACUCCAUUUCCUUUCUCUCUCACAAACUUAACCCUUUCUUCCUCCAUGUAAAAUCAAUCAUGUACACCCUCCUUCACCUCAUCAACAUCAUCACCAUCAACACAAACAAACCCUAAACUUCCAUCCUUAAACUUCACCACAAAAUCACCUUCACUUUCCAUAACCACUUCUAACCAUGAACACAACCACAAUUUAAACUCCACAUCACUCAACCUUCUUCUUCAAAUACUCCCCCAAUCACCAUUUUUUUUUCACCGCCUCCUCUCAAACCACCCUCAUCAUCAAAGCACAACACCAUACACGACCAUCACCACGACGCAACAGUACUGCGAAACUGCCUCCUUCGACGCAUCCUCUUAGAACACCACUAAAGCAACACCAUAUAUUUUCCACCAGAUUAAAAAAUAACCGUAAUCCGACACAAAUAAUACAUCAUUUCUUCACUUUCCAUCGGACCAAACAUGUGAGAGGCAAAGAAACAAAAUAGCCAAUGACAGCUAAGAAAGUGAGCAAAAUGAUAGAAGCCUCUUUUUACAACUAUUAGUCAAGGUUCCUGUCUCUUAUUACAUAGUUUCAGAAUCAAACAGAGAAUGAGGGAAGUCUGUUGCUUUCUCGACGUCGAAAAAACACGCGUUCAUAGUUGACCACCCACCUUCUUCCAUACAAACUUCACAAAACCACCCAAAACAACAGACAACCACCGAUCGAGAACUCACAAUCGCGUCGGAAUCCAACUUCCGAUCGGACGAUGGAAGAAGAUGAACGAGUCUUUUUUUUAUUCCUAUGGUUUCUUUCUUCUAUGCGAGAGAUCAAAAUGGAGGGUAGUUUUUCUGUUUUUUGAAAAACAAAGGUUUGAGUUUUUCCUGUUUUUUUGAAAAACAAAGGUUUUUUUGUUGUUGUUACGGAUUAUGAGGGAGAAAAGGAUUUGGUUUUACUCUUUCCUUCCAUUAAGUUUUGAUUAGCUGAAAUCUUAAAAUUUGAAAAUUGUUCACCAAUACGCUGAUCAGUAAAAUAUUAUAAUAAUAUAUAUUUUUAAAAAUAAAAUAUUAAAAAAUAUUAUUUUGUUAUUUUUUAAUUUUUAAAUUAAAUAAUAUUGAUAUAAAG